This 433-nucleotide ribosomal RNA is filed under the name uncultured bacterium. Its description in RNAcentral is "partial 16S ribosomal RNA". It matches the Rfam family "Bacterial small subunit ribosomal RNA", at positions 29 to 507 of the family's 1533-position model. The record is from RNAcentral.
AGCGAACGCUGGCGGCAGGCCUAACACAUGCCAGUCGAACGAAGUCUUCGGACUUAGUGGCGGACGGGUGAGUAACACGUGGGAACGUGCCUUUAGGUUCGGAAUAACUCAGGGAAACUUGUGCUAAUACCGAAUGUGCCCUUCGGGGGAAAGAUUUAUCGCCUUUAGAGCGGCCCGCGUCUGAUUAGCUAGUUGGUGAGGUAAAGGCUCACCAAGGCGACGAUCAGUAGCUGGUCUGAGAGGAUGAUCAGCCACAUUGGGACUGAGACACGGCCCAAACUCCUACGGGAGGCAGCAGUGGGGAAUCUUGCGCAAUGGGCGAAAGCCUGACGCAGCCAUGCCGCGUGAAUGAUGAAGGUCUUAGGAUUGUAAAAUUCUUUCACCGGGGACGAUAAUGACGGUACCCGGAGAAGAAGCCCCGGCUAACUUCGUG